GAUGAACGCUGGCGGCGUGCCUAAUACAUGCAAGUCGAGCGAACAGACGAGGAUCUUGCUCCUCUGACGUUAGCGGCGGACGUGUGAGUAACACGUGUAUAACCUACCUAUAAGACUGGUAUAACUUCGGGACACCGGAGCUAAUACCGUAUAAUAUAUUGAACCGCAUUGUUCAAUAGUGAAAGACGGUUUUGCUGUCACUUAUAGCUGCAUCUCGGCCGCAUUAGAUAGUUGUUAAGUUAACGGCUUACCAAGGCAACGAUGCGUAGCCGACCUGCGAGGGUGGUAGGCGACCAUAGAAGUGAGACACGGUCCAGACUCCUACGGUACGCCGCAGUAGGCAACGGUACGCAAUAGGCGAAAGCAUGACGGAACAACGGGACGUGAGUGAUGACAGUGUUGGGAUCGUAAAACUCUGUUAUUAGGGAAAAACCACUGUGUCAGUAACUAAGGACGUCUUGACGGUAAUUAAUCAGAAAGCAACGGCUAACUACGUG
This 497-nucleotide ribosomal RNA is filed under the name uncultured bacterium. RNAcentral's name for it is "partial 16S ribosomal RNA". It matches the Rfam family "Bacterial small subunit ribosomal RNA", at positions 28 to 507 of the family's 1533-position model. The record is from RNAcentral.